ACGAACGCUGGCGGCAGGCUUAACACAUGCAAGUCGAACGCCCCGCAAGGGGAGUGGCAGACGGGUGAGUAACACGUGGGAACGUGCCCGAAGGUACGGAAUAUUCUCGGGAAACUGAGAGCAAUACCGUAUAAGCCCGAGAGGGGAAAGAUUUAUCGCCAGUAGAUGAGCCCGCGUCUGAUUAGCUAGUUGGUGAGGUAAUGGCUCACCAAGGCGACGAUCAGUAGCUGGUCUGAGAGGAUGAUCAGCCACACUGGGACUGAGACACGGCCCAGACUCCUACGGGAGGCAGCAGUGGGGAAUAUUGGACAAUGGGCGAAAGCCUGAUCCAGCCAUGCCGCGUGAGUGACGAAGGUCUUCGGAUUGUAAAGCUCUUUUGGCGGGGACGAUAAUGACGGUACCCGCAGAAUAAGCCCCGGCUAACUUCGU
Molecule: ribosomal RNA, 429 nt
Filed under: uncultured bacterium
Lineage: Bacteria
Description: bacterial SSU rRNA
Rfam family: Bacterial small subunit ribosomal RNA
Source: RNAcentral